ACCUGGUUGAUCCUGCCAGUAGUCAUAUGCUUGUCUCAAAGAUUAAGCCAUGCAUGUCUAAGUAUAAGCGACUUGUACUGUGAAACUGCGAAUGGCUCAUUAAAUCAGUUAUGGUUUCUUUGAUGGUACCUUGCUACUUGGAUACCCGUAGUAAUUCUAGAGCUAAUACAUGCAGGACUGCCCGACUUCGGAAGGGCUGUAUUUAUUAGAUAAGAAACCAUCUCGGGUCCGCCCGGUUGUGUGCUGAGUCAUAAUAACUGCUCGAAUCGCACGGCUCUACGCCGGCGAUGGUUCAUUCAAAUUUCUGCCCUAUCAGCUUUCGAUGGUAGGAUAGAGGCCUACCAUGGCGUUAACGGGUAACGGAGAAUUAGGGUUCGAUUCCGGAGAGGGAGCCUGAGAAAUGGCUACCACAUCCAAGGAAGGCAGCAGGCGCGUAAAUUGCCCGAAUCCUGACACAGGGAGGUAGUGACAAGAAAUAACAAUACAGGGCUACUUUUAGUCUUGUAAUUGGAAUGAGUACAACUUACAUCUCUUCACGAGGAUCAAUUGGAGGGCAAGUCUGGUGCCAGCAGCCGCGGUAAUUCCAGCUCCAAUAGCGUAUAUUAAAGUUGUUGCAGUUAAAAAGCUCGUAGUCGGAUUUCGGG
RNAcentral lists this ribosomal RNA (644 nucleotides) under uncultured Phaeocystis. RNAcentral describes it as "partial Eukaryotic small subunit ribosomal RNA". It matches the Rfam family "Eukaryotic small subunit ribosomal RNA", at positions 1 to 645 of the family's 1831-position model. Lineage: Eukaryota; Haptophyta; Phaeocystales; Phaeocystaceae. The record is from RNAcentral.